Long non-coding RNA from Rhagoletis zephyria (snowberry fruit fly), 264 nucleotides. RefSeq lists it as uncharacterized. NCBI's taxonomy places the organism in Eukaryota, Metazoa, Arthropoda, Insecta, Diptera, Tephritidae. The record is from RefSeq and is a predicted model, not a curated record.
CUACACAGAGAAAAUGAUACAGGUGAUGAAGUAUAUACAAACAAUACCGCCAUUCUAACCACCUAACUACAUGGAAGGGACAUUGGUGAUACGGUGGACUUCUUCGACCGAAAAAAGCUUUGGGUUUGACCAGCGUGAAGAAAAACUAGAAGACCCAGCGUUGAAGUAAGGCGGGAACAUCUGUAUGGAUGCAUUUAUGUAUGUAUGUAUAUAGUAUUUGUAAAACAUCUGUAUUUUGUUUAUUAAAUUUUGUAACUUAUUUAU